CAGGAGACAGUUAUCCCUUUCUGGCCUGGCUCAGCGGACUUGAGAUGGGGGGGAUCUAUCUUCAGCCGUAAGUGGUGAGUUCUAUUCAGCAUCAGUGUUUGGAUAGGGGUUUUAGACUCGCCAGAGAUCA
This is a small nucleolar RNA of Bos indicus x Bos taurus (hybrid cattle), 130 nucleotides long. Lineage: Eukaryota; Metazoa; Chordata; Mammalia; Artiodactyla; Bovidae. The record is from Ensembl.